RNAcentral lists this ribosomal RNA (378 nucleotides) under Salipiger thiooxidans. RNAcentral describes it as "bacterial SSU rRNA". It matches the Rfam family "Bacterial small subunit ribosomal RNA", at positions 975 to 1375 of the family's 1533-position model. Lineage: Bacteria; Pseudomonadati; Pseudomonadota; Alphaproteobacteria; Rhodobacterales; Roseobacteraceae. The record is from RNAcentral.
CAACCCUUGACAUCCUAGGACCGCCAGAGAGAUCUGGCUUUCACUUCGGUGACCUAGUGACAGGUGCUGCAUGGCUGUCGUCAGCUCGUGUCGUGAGAUGUUCGGUUAAGUCCGGCAACGAGCGCAACCCACAUCUUCAGUUGCCAGCAGUUCGGCUGGGCACUCUGGAGAAACUGCCCGUGAUAAGCGGGAGGAAGGUGUGGAUGACGUCAAGUCCUCAUGGCCCUUACGGGUUGGGCUACACACGUGCUACAAUGGUGCCUACAGUGGGUUAAUCCCCAAAAGGCAUCUCAGUUCGGAUUGUCGUCUGCAACUCGACGGCAUGAAGUCGGAAUCGCUAGUAAUCGCGUAACAGCAUGACGCGGUGAAUACGUUCCC